Molecule: ribosomal RNA, 123 nt
Filed under: Esox lucius (northern pike)
Lineage: Eukaryota; Metazoa; Chordata; Actinopteri; Esociformes; Esocidae
Source: RNAcentral
GCUUACGGCCCACACCUCCAUGAGCACGCCCGAUCUCGUUCUGAUCUCCGGAAGCUAAGCAGGGUCGGGCACGGUUAGUACUGGAUGGGGAGACCGCCUGGGAAUACCAGGUCGCUGUAAGCC